GCUCCCUCUUCAGGUGCUGCCUCUGUGUUGCCUUCCUCUGACUCAGCUGCAGGCCAGAGUCUUGAAACAGAGUGCUGUGACAUGGACAUGUGGCCAAGGACCAAUUACUCUGCUACAGUGCUGGGAUCCAGGGGCCCCUUCAUGGCAGAGGGCACAGGGAGUGAAUAGAGAUUUACAGGACCUUGAGGAGCAAUGGUGUUAGAGGAGAAGCAUAUGGCAGAGUUCAAGGCCAAGUAGUAAGGAAGAUGUCCCCUAAUAAUUUGUGGUUGUGUCCUCCCCUCAAGCAAAAUCACUGAUAUUUCAUGUUGGAUGGCGUCGCAAAGAAAUCUAUCUUUGGGAUGUCCCAGGAUUGCAAUUUUCACUAUCAAUUGCUGACCACCACUUCUGUGGAACUUUGACCUCUACGAUGAGCAAUUAGCCUCUUCAGAAGUCAGUUUCAACAGCUGCUCUUGAUUGGCUGCUGC
Molecule: long non-coding RNA, 464 nt
Organism: Trachemys scripta elegans
Lineage: Eukaryota; Metazoa; Chordata; Testudines; Emydidae
Exons: 3
Source: RefSeq, a predicted model, not a curated record